Non-coding RNA from Pongo abelii (Sumatran orangutan), 46 nucleotides. Lineage: Eukaryota; Metazoa; Chordata; Mammalia; Primates; Hominidae. The record is from Rfam.
UCUCAGGUUUUCUUCAAAACUACAGACAGUUUUCAAAAGAAGACAU